AGGACGAACGCUGGCGGCGCGCCUAACACAUGCAAGUCGAACGAGAGAUGAGGAGCUUGCUCUUCAGAUCGAGUGGCGAACGGGUGAGUAACGCGUGAGGAACCUGCCUCAAAGAGGGGGACAACAGUUGGAAACGACUGCUAAUACCGCAUAAGCCCACGGCUCGGCAUCGAGCAGAGGGAAAAGGAGCAAUCCGCUUUGAGAUGGCCUCGCGUCCGAUUAGCUAGUUGGUGAGGUAACGGGCCCACCAAGGCGACGAUCGGUAGCCGGACUGAGAGGUUGAACGGCCACAUUGGGACUGAGACACGGCCCAGACUCCUACGGGAGGCAGCAGUGGGGAAUAUUGCACAAUGGGGGAAACCCUGAUGCAGCGACGCCGCGUGGAGGAAGAAGGUCUUCGGAUUGUAAACUCCUGUUGUUGAGGAAGAUAAUGACGGUACUCAACAAGGAAGUGACGGCUAACUACGUG
RNAcentral lists this ribosomal RNA (469 nucleotides) under uncultured bacterium. Its description in RNAcentral is "bacterial SSU rRNA". It matches the Rfam family "Bacterial small subunit ribosomal RNA", at positions 26 to 507 of the family's 1533-position model. The record is from RNAcentral.